This is a non-coding RNA of Chinchilla lanigera (long-tailed chinchilla), 1579 nucleotides long. Lineage: Eukaryota; Metazoa; Chordata; Mammalia; Rodentia; Chinchillidae. The record is from the annotation of a RefSeq genome assembly.
CAGCCCCUUGCUCUGAGAACUGCUUGAUAAGCCGGUCACACUCUGUGCAGAAGUCAGUCUCAGUCAAGACACAGCGAGAAUAUGGGGUCCCCUUCCCAGCUUUUGGGGCUCCUGCUGCUCUGCCUCCCAGGUGCCAGAUGUGACAUCCUGAUGACUCAGUCUCCAUCCACCCUGUCUGCAUCUCUGCAAGACAGCGUGACCAUCAAUUGCCGGGCCAGUCAGGGCAUUAGCAAUUAUUUAGCCUGGUAUCAGCAGAAACCAGGGCAAGCUCCUAAACUCCUGAUCUAUUAUGCAAGCAAUUUGGCAUCUGGGGUGCCCUCCAGGUUCAGCGGCAGUGGAUCUGGAACAGAUUACACUCUCACCAUCAGCAACCUGCAGCCUGAAGAUGUUGCAACUUAUUACUGUCAGCAGUAUGAUGAGUACCCUCCCACGGUGAUACAAGCCAUAGCAUAAACCUCCCAGGAAAGCAGAAGUGAAAGUGUAGGCUGGCCAGCUGUUCCUCCUGUCAUUUCUGUCUGUUCAGAACAUUUCUCAGAUGCAAGAAGCCUACACAGGAGGCAUUUAUGUUGUAUCACAGCUUGAAAAUGACACAGAAAAAGAGAUGACACCACAGAUACUACAAACAAGAAUUGUUGCAAACAGUGACAAGAUGCUUUAAUUACCCAUUAUAUUUGUUUCUUGGAUGUAUAUUUUAACAUUUAUUAAUUGCAGAUUAAUUGCAGAUUUCAAUAGAAGUGACUCUAAUAUUUCUAUGUAUGCAGACAGUGUACAAUGAUCAUAUCCAUCCAAAUGUCCACACAUUCACCCUUGACUCCCUUCCCCAUAACGUCUUCUCAAUCAGUCUUCCAUUUUCUAGUUGACAUUUUUUUUUUGAAAAAGUUUCUGUAUAUUAGAAAGAGAGAAUAUCUGAUAUUUUUUAUUAUUGCGUCUGUCCAUUUUCAGUUCCCAUUUCAAUUAAGGCUUUGAGUUACAUUUGUGACCUGUAAGAGGAUGGGGGUACUACACUGAAAGGAUUUGGUUUCCCUAUCAUUUGGGGAGGGUUGAGUUGAUGUUAUUUGUAAAGGAAAGGUUUGUGGUGCAUUAGAUAACAACGCUACAUAAUGAGACCACAUCUCAAAAAAAAAAAAAGAAAAGAAAAUUUGAUGAAAGCUUACAUUUACAAUGAAAUAAAGGACAGAUUGCCAUUAAUCUACCUCACACUACUCCUCUUCCUUCAAAGGGAUGUAUCUCACCUUUAUUGCCACACUAUGAAGUGGUUAAGAAGUCCUUUUCCAGGAGUGUUUUCAGUUUCCCUGUUGUGGCUGUUUUGAUAUCUUGAAUAAAUUUAAAAUUUUAGCUUCCUGGUCAUUUUGACUUUAUAAAAGAGACAUGAAUGAUAUUGUGCCAUUUGGUGAAUAUGGUGAAGCAGUAUACACUGUAAUGUUUGUGUGUGACAGAAAUCCUUGUAAACUUCUUGAUUGAUUAAGGACAUAAAAGCAGCCGUAAGUAAUACUAACAAACAAAGUCCAGAAAUUCUUCAGCAAGCGGCAAGAACAAUGGGAUAAGUGUGAUCAAAGGAAGGGGGAGUAUUUUGAGGGUA